AUUGCAGGACAAGGGACAGGAUUCGACACAGAGCUUCAGUUUAAAUUUGUCUAAGGAGUCAGGGCUAAGCAAUGCCUGGCAACUGUCAGAAGUAAAUGGUUACAAGGCGAACAGCCAUUCCCAAUUACUAGCAGGGGCAGCUGGAGUUGGCAUGGAAUUCAGCAGCAACAGGAGCUGUAGGACACAUGUUCUCCUUGGAUAGUGCCAUGGGCCAUUCCAAGGACCUCUGGGCACCUCUGGACAAGUGACUUCAUGGGAAGGUUCACACCACAAGCAUCACUGAGCAUGGCUGGCAUAUUUGGGAGGCUGUGUCUGGCAGAGGUUGGCCACCGUCUCGAUGCCAGCAGUCUCUCAUGACUCCAAACCUCAAAUCUGCUCUAAGCAGAAGGGAAAAGUCGGCUUGUGAGCUGAGCUUUUUGGUCCAACUGUGCUUCAGAUAAACACAGCCCGUGGCUAUUUCAGGUCUCGGUUUUAGGGAGCAGCUGUGAGGUUAUGGAAAGAGCCAAGGGGAGAACCUUGACCCAAGUGGCUGUUUCUCUGAGUGCUGGGAGAGAGGAAGCUGGGGCAUGGCCCCUCAGAGGUCAGGAGGACAUCACGGGGCUGUCCCACUGACGGGGUACAGAUGUCUCAAUUCUGGGAACCCUCUUUGCCAAGUUCUGACUCUCUAAAAAAUGGAUGUUUGAAGUUUGGAGUAAAAAAUGCUACCCUGUGAAAAGAGAGCAUUUUAUUGCAUUGAUACCUGGUGGUCUCAAAGCAGAAUAUGGGGGCCAGCAAGACGGCUAAACACUUGCCACCAAGCCUGAAGGUCGGAGUUUAGUCCCUGGGAUCCACAUGGUGGCGAGAGCCAAUUCCUUCAGUUGUUCUCUGACCUCCACACAUGUGCUUCGCCACACAUGUAAAAUAAAUAAGUAAAAUGUAAAACAAAGAAAGCUCAUUUUAAAAAAAUCAGAAUAGGGAUCUCUAAAGGUCCACCUACCCUGCAUUUUAUUGAAAUAUAUGUCUAUUACAGGAAGCCAGAUACCUAUCUGUGACUGAUAUCCAAUCUCCCCAAAUUGCCCUCUGUCCUUCUGGGGUCACUCCAGGAGAUGCUGAAUCCUGCCCGACAUGUGGGCAUGUCCCUUGCCUAAACAUCAUCUCACAGGGACACAAAUCUCACAGUCACGUCACGGCCUUCAACGCUGGGACACAAGCAGUUCAAUAUCUAUAAAGCAAGCUUAGAUAACUUCCCCCAGUGGAUUCUUACAAGUUAAACACCCAAGGUGUAAUGUGCUGCUCAGUGGCCUGGUAUGAAUAUGGUCUAGUUAAUCCCCAACACCACACACAAAAAACGACUGAACACUGAAGUCCCUUUAGUGUCCCUCAAACCCUAGCCUAUCCAUAGAAGUAGAGGGAAGCCAGCACACAAAACAAAUCCCCACCUUCUUCCUGAGGAAGCUCCCACUGCAUCCAGCUGUGGGCGCCAUCAUGGAUCUAGGGUGUGGUAUGGGCUGUCUGGGACCCGAGGGAUGGAGAACCACAAUGACAGAGAGAGUCUUCACCUUCAGAACAUGCAUGGUCCGUGGAGGGGAGGAGCAGAUCAAUUAAUCUGUGAGACGAAUAGUUAUGAAGGAUCCUGUGUGGGAGUUUGGAGGGAAGUGCCCACUAACCACAAAGUUAGGCUUCUCAAAAAUAUUAACCUUCCUGGAUCCUGAGAGAAAAAGACAGUGGGCAAUGAAGAAAGUUGCUCCCAGAAAGGAAGAAGCUCACCCAUGCAAAGGACCUGUGGCAAAUCCAUCUUAAAUAUGGAUGGGGGUUGCAGCUCCUUUAGUAUGCCAGGCAAAUAACUAUGGCAGACCCUUGACUCAGCAAACCUCACUCCCCGAGACCUGCAGGCAAAUAUCUCUCUCUAUCUAUCUAUCUAUCUAUCUCUCUCUCUCCCUCCCUCCCUCCCUCCCUCCCUCCCUCCCUCUCUCUCUCAUGGAAAACUCCUGGAAAAACCAGUACACAGAGAAUGUAGGGGCUCUUUUCCAGUAGAACCACCAGGUUUGCCCUGGCUGAAAAUCGGAAAGCAUUGGUUAUCUUGUAGCCUGCAUUUGUUGUCAAAGCUUUCUACAAUAUUAUAGUGAGAUGCCUGUACAGGAAAAAAAAAAUCUAAUUUAUUUCUCAUUGUCCAUUCUCUCAAACAUGAGGUGUUUAAUCCGAAAGAAUAGCCAAGGGCUUGAGAAGGCUUAGUAAGAAAAUUGUAGGAAAGGCAAUUCUGUGCAAUUAAGAGUAGAAAAACUGUUAUAGCAAGGAAACAUUGUACAAUAUAUUUAGGGGGGGAAGGAGUUUUAUCUUGCAAAACAAUACAGCAGUGAACUGCAUGCAUCACUACAAUGCCCCCCUGGUUGCCUUCCAUGCCAGAGAGGAAGGGGCAGUAGCUGUUUCUGCCAGGACAAGUGUGCAGCCAAUGGUGUUUGGUGAUUAUUGCAAAUUAAACAGCCCAGGAAGCAGAGGGGAGAGCAGAUAAAUCGAAGGACUUGGACUACACUUUUACAGCCUGCCGGCGCUUACCAACUUAACUUACUAGGUCUGGGGGAAAGUGUGUCUCAGUAAAUAAAAGAAAGCUGCUGCUAUUCCAGCACGAACCCUGACAUUUGCUGGCCUGAUGCAGCUUUUCUGCCUGUCUCUUCCUCAGAGCUGCUGAAUAUACAAACACACGACUUCCAUGCUGCCAGAGAUGUAGAUGUGGGCUGCCUGGCUGGUUUUAGCUGCCAUUAUGCUCCCAUAACCUUUGAUAUGUAACAUUCCCAGGAGGUACAGCAGUUCCUUACUGCCCAGCGAUCGAGAGCUAUGCCCACCAGUUUCAGGUUUGGUCUUUGGUCGGUGGAGUUGAUAAUCAUGUUUCCUUCAGUUAGUGUAAAUCACGCUAAGAGUCUGGUAUGUGCUCUAUGCUCUAUAAGGGAGAAUUCUCUCCCAUGUGAAAAUAAAGUAUCCAUGUGUGUGCAUUGUUGUACUUGAAUUGUGUGCACCAUUGUGUAUUAAUGCAUAUAGGCCACACUCAGACAUCUGCAAUGGCUUUGAAGCAUCUGAUUCCAUUUAAAUGGACUCCAUGCCCUUGGCAUGUGCUAUGUAAGUGUUUAUGAAUUUUCUAUGCAGCACUUUUACAGGUCCAUUUGUUUAUGAUGUGACAUGGUAGACAAUCGUGUUGGUUUAUGUUCUUCUUGUUUUUCAAGAAAGUAAAUGUACAUACUACUAAGCAAAUGAAUAAAUUAUUAAAAUAUAGGCUUUAUGGAUCAUGCCCACUGUUGAAAAUAAAUCUAUCUUAUUUGUUUCAUAAUGUGUCUGUCAUGAUGAUGAAAAUUUAUAUGGCCCUUAUACAUAUUGACACCAUGUAUUUAAGCUUUGUUCAAUAUUGAUGAGUGUUCCCUAAUAAAAUAUUUUAAACGUC
This 3409-nucleotide long non-coding RNA is filed under the name Mus musculus (house mouse). RNAcentral describes it as "long non-coding RNA chr14:66736658-66740067". The record is from RNAcentral. Lineage: Eukaryota; Metazoa; Chordata; Mammalia; Rodentia; Muridae.